UGCUGGUGACAUAGCUCAGUCGGUAGAGCAUGAGACUCCUAAACUCAGGGUUGUGGGUUCAAACCACACAUUAGCCA
Podarcis lilfordi (Lilford's wall lizard) is the source of this 77-nucleotide non-coding RNA. The record is from the annotation of a GenBank genome assembly. Lineage: Eukaryota; Metazoa; Chordata; Lepidosauria; Squamata; Lacertidae.